GGUAACAGGUUAAGCUGACGAGUGGCGAACGGGAGAGUAAUAUAUCGGAACGUGCCCAGUCGUGGGGGAUAACUGCUCGAAAGAGCAGCUAAUACCGCAUACGACCUGAGGGUGAAAGCGGGGGAUCGCAAGACCUCGCGCGAUUGGAGCGGCCGAUAUCAGAUUAGGUAGUUGGUGGGGUAAAGGCCCACCAAGCCAACGAUCUGUAGCUGGUCUGAGAGGACGACCAGCCACACUGGGACUGAGACACGGCCCAGACUCCUACGGGAGGCAGCAGUGGGGAAUUUUGGACAAUGGGCGCAAGCCUGAUCCAGCCAUGCCGCGUGCGGGAAGAAGGCCUUCGGGUUGUAAACCGCUUUUGUCAGGGAAGAAAAGGUUCUGGUUAAUACCUGGGACUCAUGACGGUACCUGAAGAAUAAGCACCGGCUAACUACGUGCCAGCAGCCGCGGUAAUACGUAGGGUGCAAGCGUUAAUCGGAAUUACUG
This 486-nucleotide ribosomal RNA is filed under the name uncultured Roseateles sp. RNAcentral describes it as "bacterial SSU rRNA". It matches the Rfam family "Bacterial small subunit ribosomal RNA", at positions 74 to 556 of the family's 1533-position model. Lineage: Bacteria; Pseudomonadati; Pseudomonadota; Betaproteobacteria; Burkholderiales; Sphaerotilaceae. The record is from RNAcentral.